GGACCAAGGAGUCUAGCAUGUGCGCGAGUCAUUGGGACUAGCGAAACCUAAAGGCGUAAUGAAAGUGAAGGCUCGCCUCGCGCGUGCCGAGGGAGGAUGGGUCGUCUCACGAUACGGCCCCGCACUCCCGGGGCGUCUCGUUCUCAUUACGAGAAGAGGCGCACCCAGAGCGUACACGCUGGGACCCGAAAGAUGGUGAACUAUGCCUGGUCAGGACGAAGUCAGGGGAAACCCUGAUGGAGGUCCGUAGCGAUUCUGACGUGCAAAUCGAUCGUCGGAACUGGGUAUAGGGGCGAAAGACUAAUCGAACCAUCUAGUAGCUGGUUCCCUCCGAAGUUUCCCUCAGGAUAGCUGGCGCUCGCUUUGCGAGUCUCAUCCGGUAAAGCGAAUGAUUAGAGGCAUUGGGGUCGAAACGGCCUCAACCUAUUCUCAAACUUUAAAUGGGUGAGAUCUCCGGCUUGCUCGAACUUGAAGCCGCGAGAUUUCGGAUCAGAGUGCCAAGUGGGCCACUUUUGGUAAGCAGAACUGGCGCUGUGGGAUGAACCAAACGCCGAGUUAAAGCGCCUAAAUCGACGCUUAUGGGAUACCAUGAAAGGCGUU
RNAcentral lists this ribosomal RNA (600 nucleotides) under Hydrophilidae sp. 2 MTM-2009. Its description in RNAcentral is "eukaryotic LSU rRNA". It matches the Rfam family "Eukaryotic large subunit ribosomal RNA", at positions 663 to 1225 of the family's 3401-position model. Lineage: Eukaryota; Metazoa; Arthropoda; Insecta; Coleoptera; Hydrophilidae. The record is from RNAcentral.